AUGGUUUUCUACUGCUGCGAUAGGCUUGAUCCCCACGGCACUGUUUCGUCUCUAUCAUCUCUCUAGAUUUCCAUUGGGUUAUUCCACGAAAAAUGCCUAACCAGAGGCUAUAUAAAGGGCCCCCAUCCCCCCAUCCAGUUUCCCUCCAUAAACCUAAGCAUCAGAGCAUCUUCCCCACACAUCUCUCUCUCUCUCUCUCGCUCUCUCGCUCUAAAGCAAGUCUUUCCAGCUGAGAGAAUAAGCCGCCGCGAGGGUCCAUCCCCAUCUCCUCAUCUCGAUCCACAUGGCUCCGAACGGCCAGAAAAUUUCAUCCAUGAUCAUCAGCCUCGCCUUCUUCUUCUUCUUGGUCUCUGCGAAUUCCACUCAAGCGAGGAAGCUCCUAGGUAGCCCAGGGGGGGGACUUCGCCUCCUUAGAAGGCACCAUGGUGUUCAGCGCACUGCCGAGGGCCCCCGUCCCUCCGUCGUCACCAGGUAACGGAGGAAACGUCGUCGUCGUCGAGGGGAGGUUGCUCGCGGGUCGUACCUCGUCGGUUGAGCGGAUGCUGGGAUCGGUGCCGAGCCCUGGAGUCGGCCACUAGUGCUUUCUCCAGCUCCCUGUUGAUGCUCUCCUCUUCUGCGUUCCUCCUCUCACUACCGUGACCCAACAUUCCUGGGAGACGGACCGAUUUUUUCGUUUUUCUGACAUUUUUGUCACUUAGUUCCUCAAAUGGGUAUAAUAAAAGAAAAGUAAACACAUUUAAUGUAUGAUUAUUUAGCACAGGAGAUACCCGGACGGUUUUUUCCGACUGUUCUUCUCAUUUCCUUCCCUUCUUCCUGUAUUUCUUUCCAGAGAGAGCGGGCCUGAUGGGGUCGCCUUACAUGUACAAAUAUUGCAUAAAUUUACGAAAGAACAGGAGAAUCGUGCGCAUCGAUCAGGAUUUGAUGGUUUUGCCUGCUUCGUCCGCAUCAAUUAGCAUCGGAAUUGUUCAGUCGGUCUGGCCACCCUAUUAACGUCAUUCCCAUGUUAUUCUCCCCUCCGUUGCAUUCACCCUCAAGGCUCUGGUUUGCUCGAGUUCAGGAAGAAGACUACACGCCCAUCAGCUAAUAAUUCAUCCUUAAUCUGGAUCUGGGACCUGGCUUGAUCGCCGCAGAUGAUGCCGUCUUAGUCGCGAUUUGGGAGCGAUAGGAGGGUCUCAGACAUUCCGAGUUCUAGCGCGAACAGCACGUCUCCGGGAAGGGCGGUCCGCCGUCCUGAACUUGGACAGGAAGCGGGCACGUAUGGGCAUCCCGACAUGCCGGGCCGGGGCGUUGUCUCCGUCAAUCAGAUCACGCCCCAACGAAUCCCCGGAAGCGGCGCCCAUGCGAUCCAACGUGGGUGACAAUGGCCGGACGAGACUUUAGCAG
This 1383-nucleotide long non-coding RNA is filed under the name Spirodela polyrhiza (greater duckweed). RNAcentral's name for it is "long non-coding RNA (SPOL_LNC001132)". The record is from RNAcentral. Lineage: Eukaryota; Viridiplantae; Streptophyta; Magnoliopsida; Alismatales; Araceae.